RNAcentral lists this long non-coding RNA (564 nucleotides) under Struthio camelus australis. RNAcentral describes it as "lncRNA (ENSSCUG00000010900.1)". Lineage: Eukaryota; Metazoa; Chordata; Aves; Struthioniformes; Struthionidae. The record is from RNAcentral.
UGCUGGCGCGUCUGACCCGCCGCCUGUCGCUGCAGGGCGAGCCGGCGCUGAUGGAGGGAAUCUUGCUGGGUGAACCCGUAAGUUGGCCCUCUCCAUCUCUUCCCCUCGCCGUUCCUCUGCCUUCUGCUUUGCCAAGCAGGCCCUAACGCUGCUCUCCCUCCCUGGCAGGGCUCCAAGGGUGACCGGGGCUUGCCUGGCCCCAAGGGAGAGAAGGGGGAGCCUGGAAGAUUUGGGGAGCCUGGAGAUCCCGGGGAAGACGGAGCCAAAGGAUCGUCCGGAGCCAAGGGGGAAAAGGGCUCUCCUGGUGUCGGCGUGCGGGGACCUCCAGGACAGGACGGACCUCCUGGCUUGAAGGUGAUCUCUGCCGCUGCGUCGCUGCGGCUCUGGCCGUGUCCCCGGACGCCUGGGUUCUGUCCCGCUUGGCUGACCAGGGAGAAACACGCUCCCAGGGUCUCCCUAGCGGCUAUUUCCCUGGGCCCAUCUUUUCCCUCUCUGCUCCAGGGUGACACUGGCUUGCCAGGCCCACCAGGACCCCCGGGCUUGGCAGGUGUCGCAGGGACCCCG